AGAAGCAACCGGAAGCUUAUGUUCUGGCUCGUUAGAAGUCACCCUGGUUUUUUUUCUAAAACGCAUAGAGAGUAGGGGCUGGGUAAAGACGGGGUGCCAGCCGCGCGGUAAUACCUGCAGCUCGAUGUGGGUGGGCUUAUUAUUGGGCCUAAAACGUCCCGUAGCCUGUUUACUAAAUGCCUAGGUAAAUUUGUGUGGCUUAACCAUACGAAAUUCUGGGUAAGACCUGGUAAACUUGAAACUGGGGAAGAAAGCUAAGAGGGUACUCCCUGGGGGUUAGAGGGUGAAAUUUCUUUGUAAAUCCCUAAGGGGGGGACCACCCAGGUGGGCGAAAGGGGCGUUCUAAGGCUAAGAAACCAGGGUUCUUGACCGGUAGAUGGGGACGAAAGCCCUGGUGGGCGCAAAACGGGGAUUUAAGAAUACCCCCGGGUUAUUGUCCAGGGUGUAAACGCUGCUUGCUUGAUGUUGGUUUGGGGCUCCGAGCCCGAUCAGUGUCGGGAAAGAAGUUUGUUAAGCCAAAGCGUGCCUUGGGAAGUACGGUCGCAAGACUGAAACCUUAAAGGAAUUUGGCGGGGGAGCCCGCCAACGGGGAGGGACGCGUGCGGUUUAAUUUGGAUUCAACGCCGGAAAGCUCCACCGGAGGGAGAACGGGUUAUAUGAAGGCCAGGGCUGAUGACCUUGCCCGAUUUUCCCGAGAGGUGGUGCCAUGGGCCGUCGUCAGUUUCGUACCGGGUAAGGGCGUUUCUGGUUUAAAGUCCAGGACAACCGAACCAAGACCCUCGUCUUUAGUUGCAACUGGUAAGGUCCGCUUAUCCAGGCACCACUAAAGAGACCGCUGGCGCUAAGUCAGAGGAAGGCGAGGCCACGGUAGGUCAGUAUGCCCCUGAAUCCUUCGGGCUACACGCGCGCUACAAGGCUAGGACAUGGGAUUCGACACCGGAAGGGUGAAGGUAACCUCGAAACCUAGUCAUAGUUCGGAUCGAGGGUUGAAACUCACCCUCGUGAAGGUGAUUCCGUAUACUAGUCGUCACUAUCCGGAAUCGAG
RNAcentral lists this ribosomal RNA (1045 nucleotides) under uncultured archaeon. RNAcentral describes it as "partial 16S ribosomal RNA". It matches the Rfam family "Archaeal small subunit ribosomal RNA", at positions 363 to 1322 of the family's 1478-position model. The record is from RNAcentral.